GAUAAACGCUGGCGGCGUGCCUAACACAUGCAAGUCGAACGAAGCUCUCUGAGUUGAGUUUUCGGACAAGAGGAAGAGAUGACUUAGUGGCGGACGGGUGAGUAAUGCGUGAGCAACCUGCCUUUCAGAGGGGGACAACAGUUGGAAACGACUGCUAAUACCGCAUAAUGUAUUUUGAUGGCAUCAACGAAAUACCAAAGAUUAUAUCGCUGAAAGAUGGGCUCACGUCUGGUUAGCUAGUUGGUGAGGUAACGGCUCACCAAGGCUGCGAUCAGUAGCCGGACUGAGAGGUCGAACGGCCACAUUGGGACUGAGAUACGGCCCAGACUCCUACGGGAGGCAGCAGUGGGGAAUAUUGGGCAAUGGGCGCAAGCCUGACCCAGCAACGCCGCGUGAAGGAAGAAGGCUUUCGGGUUGUAAACUUCUUUUGGCAGGGACGAAACAAAUGACGGUACCUGCAGAAUAAGCACCGGCUAACUACGUGCCAGCCGCCGCCGUAA
Molecule: ribosomal RNA, 500 nt
Filed under: uncultured bacterium
Lineage: Bacteria
Description: partial 16S ribosomal RNA
Rfam family: Bacterial small subunit ribosomal RNA
Source: RNAcentral